RNAcentral lists this ribosomal RNA (598 nucleotides) under uncultured Tomentella. RNAcentral's name for it is "eukaryotic LSU rRNA". The stretch from base 185 to 339 matches the Rfam family "5.8S ribosomal RNA". The record is from RNAcentral. Lineage: Eukaryota; Fungi; Basidiomycota; Agaricomycetes; Thelephorales; Thelephoraceae.
UUGCUGGUCCCCAAACUGGGGGCAUGUGCACACUCUGUUUGCACAUCCACUCACACCUGUGCACACUCCGUAGUUCUAUGGCCUGGGGGACUCUGUCCGCCCAUGCUGUGGUUCUAGACAUUUACACACACCCCCUGUAAUAAAGUAUAAUGGAAUGCAUGCUGCGUUUAACGCAAUACAAUACAACUUUCAGCAACGGAUCUCUUGGCUCUCGCAUCGAUGAAGAACGCAGCGAAAUGCGAUAAGUAAUGUGAAUUGCAGAAUUCAGUGAAUCAUCGAAUCUUUGAACGCACCUUGCGCCCUUUGGCUAUUCCGAAGGGCAUGCCUGUUUGAGUAUCAUGAACACCUCAACUCUCAUGGCUUGCCAUGAUGAGCUUGGACUUUGGGGGUCUUGCUGGCCUGCAAGGUCCGCUCCUCUCAAAUGGAUCAGCUUCCCAGUGUUUGGUGGCUUCACCGGUGUGAUAAAUAUCUACGCUUGUGGCUCCCUGCCAGAUAACCUUCAGUGAUGGAGGUACACUGGAGCUCAUAAAUGUCUCUCCUCAGCGAAGACAGCUUUUUGAAUGUUUGAUCUCAAAUCAGGUAGGACUACCCGCUGAAC